This 262-nucleotide long non-coding RNA is filed under the name Trifolium pratense (red clover). Its description in RNAcentral is "long non-coding RNA (TPRA_LNC002624)". Lineage: Eukaryota; Viridiplantae; Streptophyta; Magnoliopsida; Fabales; Fabaceae. The record is from RNAcentral.
UUAUUUUAAGUUUCAAUUUGGUCCCUUACGUUUAAAAAGUAUCAAUUUGGUCCCUUACGUUUCCAUUAGGUUUCAAUUUAGUUAUUUCUUUCCAUUUUGUCACAUGUGGCAGUCAAUUCGCAUAUGUGGACUGACACGUGGACACUUUGACACAGUGACACGUGUAUAGUUCAAACGGUGUUAGUGACAAAACUAACGGAAAAGACUAAAUUGAAACCGAAUGGAAACGUAAGGGACCAAAUUGAUUCUUUUUAAACGUAAG